Non-coding RNA from Oncorhynchus mykiss (rainbow trout), 1229 nucleotides. Lineage: Eukaryota; Metazoa; Chordata; Actinopteri; Salmoniformes; Salmonidae. The record is from RefSeq and is a predicted model, not a curated record.
UAUAAUACCAGUCCAGGGGAGGGUACUAGGUAGAAAGGGCCCCCUGUCUGUCUCAGCUGUAAUGCCAGUCCAGGGGAGGGUACUAGGUAGAAAGGGCCCCCUGUCUGUCUCAGCUGUAAUACCAGUCCAGGGAAGGGUACUAGGUAGAAAGGGCCCCCUGUCUGUCUCAGCUGUAAUACCAGUCCAGGGAAGGGUACUAGGUAGAAAGGGCCCCCUGUCUCAGCUGUAAUACCAGUCCAGGGGAGGGUACUAGGUAGAAAGGGCCCCCUGUCUGUGUCAGCUGUAAUACCAGUCCAGGAGAGGGUACUAGGUAGAACCCCCUGUCUGUCUCAGCUGUAAUACCAGUCCAGGGGAGGGUACUAGGUAGAAAGGGCCCCCUGUCUGUCUCAGCUGUAAUACCAGUCCAGGAGAGGGUACUAGGUAGAACCCCCUGUCUGUCUCAGCUGUAAUACCAGUCCAGGGGAGGGUACUAGGUAGAAAGGGCCCCCUGUCUGUGUCAGCUGUAAUACCAGUCCAGGAGAGGGUACUAGGUAGAACCCCCUGUCUGUCUCAGCUGUAAUACCAGUCCAGGGGAGGGUACUAGGUAGAAAGGGCCCCCUGUCUGUCUCAGCUGUAAUACCAGUCCAGGGGAGGGUACUAGGUAGAAAGGGCCCCCUGUCUGUCUCAGCUGUAAUACCAGUCCAGGGGAGGGUACUAGGUAGUUACAGACAGACAGGUUGUGUAGUCUAGGACAGGUCAGUUACACUAGGAGAUAGAUGGUUACAGACAGACAGACAGGUUGUGUAGUCUAGGACAGGUCAGUUCCACUAGGAGAUAGAUGGUUACAGACAGACAGGUCAGUUCCACUAGGAGAUAGAUGGUUACAGACAGACAGGUCAGUUCCACUAGGAGAUAGGUGGUUACAGACAGACAGGUCAGUUCCACUAGGAGAUAGGUGGUUACAGACAGACAGGUCAGUUACACUAGGAGAUAGAUGGUUACAGACAGACAGGUCAGUUCCACUAGGAGAUAGAUGGUUACAGACAGACAGGUCAGUUACACUAGGAGAUAGAUGGUUACAGACAGACAGGUCAGUUACCCUAGGAGAUAGAUGGUUACAGACAGGUCAGUUCCACUAGGAGAUAGAUGGUUACAGACAGACAGGUCAGUUACCCUAGGAGAUAGGUGGUUACAGACAGACAGGUCAGUUCCACUAGGAGAUAGGUGGUUACAGACAGACAGGUCAGUUC